ACACGGCGUCGCCGCCCCCCGCUUCCCCUGCAUCUAGGCGCUGCCGCCCUCCCGCUUCCCCUACCCCGAGGCGCCGCUGACCCAACCUCCCGCGUGCCACCUGACUUCCUUCCCCCGCCGCCCCUUGCUCCGGUGGGCCUCCCACCGCUACCAACCGGCGUCGGAACCGUCCCUCGCCCUGGAUCGCACCGCCGCCACUACCCACGAUGAGGAUCGCGCCACAGGCACCGUCCCAUGAUGGGGAUCGAGCUGCAGGCACCGUCCCACGAUGGGGAUCGCGCCACUGCAACCGCAUCGCCCCACCUCCCGUCAUCGGGAUCCUGCUGCCGCGCGACAACCACCGGGAUCCUCCCACUGUGUGACCUUCCUCCACCUGCCACCGUGAACUUCUUCCACCCUCCACCGUGACCUUCUUCCCUCCCCCGCCUCGAUCCUGACAUGGCUCCAUGUUUCAUUGAUGUUGUAGGCGGUCGCUACUCACGCCGCGCGCGUGUGGCGGUGGACGGACGCGAUGGUUUCCUUCAACAUGAACGACCGCAAAGAGUGGCUCGUCGGAUGCUGUUGCCGUGGAUGAGGAUGAUCUCGUUCUCGAUAGGAGAAUGAAGAGACACAGGAGAGGGGACGAGGAUCAUGUGCUCACCGUGCAACACAGCGUCACCUCUUCGCUCUGGAGCAUCGGGAUUCUUGCUAGAGAGCAUUCAGUGUCGGAUUUCCUAAUGUGUAUUGUCCUUCUUUCAUUUGUGGUCCACUGUUUGCUGUUGUUCGUUUACAGGUUUGGAAGGCAGCCAUGCUGCUAACCUGACUUUGUGUUGCACAAGAGCUUCACGUCGUCUGAAUUCGACGGUGUUACUGCCAUGGAGAUCGGUGUUGGGACAGGUGAUGGCUUGUUAUGAAAUUUAGUGAAUGAGAAAAUUGUAUUGUGCUUGUACAACUGUGUAAUUUUUUAUUUUUUAUUUGUUUUUGUGAAUAUCAAAAUGUUGAGUCCGAGAAGUUCAAGUAUGUUAGUUUAAACUGUAUUAUUGAGAUGCUCCAACUGGUUGUAGGAGUGCAUUGAGAAACAGAGUGAAAAACAUCUAUAAAAAUGGAAGUUCAGGAGGAUCAAAAAAGAAAAAGAAGAAAGAAAAAGCUCACACUUCCGUCGUUGAUAUUUACAACGACAAACAAGUAACAAGUUCAUGUUUGUCAACCAUU
Triticum urartu is the source of this 1191-nucleotide non-coding RNA. The record is from RefSeq and is a predicted model, not a curated record. NCBI's taxonomy places the organism in Eukaryota, Viridiplantae, Streptophyta, Magnoliopsida, Poales, Poaceae.